GUCCACACCAUAAACGAUGGUCACUAGUUGUCGGGGGAUUCGACCCCCUCGGCAACGACGCUAACGCAUUAAGUGACCCACCUGGGGAGUACGCUCGCAAGGGUGAAACUCAAAGGAAUUGACGGGGGCCCGCACAAGCGGUGGAGCAUGUGGUUUAAUUCGAUGCAACGCGAAGAACCUUACCUGGGCUCGAAGUGCUCUGUAAACCCAUGAAAGUGGGCUAUCCCUUCGGGGAGCGGAGUAUAGGUGCUGCAUGGCUGUCGU
RNAcentral lists this ribosomal RNA (264 nucleotides) under uncultured bacterium. Its description in RNAcentral is "partial 16S ribosomal RNA". It matches the Rfam family "Bacterial small subunit ribosomal RNA", at positions 793 to 1055 of the family's 1533-position model. The record is from RNAcentral.